UGUGCGGUCAAAAUGACCGUUGAUUAAAGAAGUAAUAUUUUUUAUGAUUUAACUUAGAUAAUGGUUAAUUUAUAACUAAAUGUAUAUAAAAUGAUGAACUUUCAUAAAAUUUCAUCCAAAUUUACUUUUGUUUAAUUUCAAUUAUAGACUUAUAGAUAUAUCUUAUUCAAUUUUGCUGCAUUUUUUACAAAUUAUCUUAUUAUCAAAUGUACAUUUGCCGCAUAAAUAUUUUCCGCAUCUUAAACAAAUUUUCGUAAUUUUGAAACCUUUACAACUUUUUACUUGACAAGUUUUUUGUAGUAA
This 303-nucleotide unclassified non-coding RNA is filed under the name Bombus terrestris (buff-tailed bumblebee). RNAcentral's name for it is "misc RNA ENSBTSG00005034646.1". Lineage: Eukaryota; Metazoa; Arthropoda; Insecta; Hymenoptera; Apidae. The record is from RNAcentral.